Long non-coding RNA from Budorcas taxicolor (takin), 182 nucleotides. RefSeq lists it as uncharacterized. The transcript has 4 exons. NCBI's taxonomy places the organism in Eukaryota, Metazoa, Chordata, Mammalia, Artiodactyla, Bovidae. The record is from RefSeq and is a predicted model, not a curated record.
GCAUGACUCUGGCUACCAUAUUGUUCCUGCUGGGCAUCCUCAUUAUCCUCAGCAAGAAGGUGAAGUGCAGAAAGGCGGACUCCAGCCCAACAUGCAAAUCCUGUAAGUCGGAGCUUCCCUCCUCAGAGGAGAGAGCCACAGCCUGUGAAGAGAGGGGUCCCACGUGGGAAAAGAACGUUGGC